Molecule: ribosomal RNA, 497 nt
Filed under: uncultured bacterium
Lineage: Bacteria
Description: partial 16S ribosomal RNA
Rfam family: Bacterial small subunit ribosomal RNA
Source: RNAcentral
GAUGAACGCUGGCGGCAUGCCUAAUACAUGCAAGUCGAGCGAACGGACGAGAAGCUUGCUUCUCUGAUGUUAGCGGCGGACGGGUGAGUAACACGUGGAUAACCUACCUAUAAGACUGGGAUAACUUCGGGAAACCGGAGCUAAUACCGGAUAAUAUUUUGAACCGCAUGGUUCAAAAGUGAAAGACGGUCUUGCUGUCACUUAUAGAUGGAUCCGCGCUGCAUUAGCUAGUUGGUAAGGUAACGGCUUACCAAGGCAACGAUGCAUAGCCGACCUGAGAGGGUGAUCGGCCACACUGGAACUGAGACACGGUCCAGACUCCUACGGGAGGCAGCAGUAGGGAAUCUUCCGCAAUGGGCGAAAGCCUGACGGAGCAACGCCGCAUGAGUGAUGAAGGUCUUCGGAUCGUAAAACUCUGUUAUUAGGGAAGAACAUAUGUGUAAGUAACUGUGCACAUCUUGACGGUACCUAAUCAGAAAGCCACGGCUAACUACGUG